RNAcentral lists this ribosomal RNA (587 nucleotides) under uncultured bacterium. Its description in RNAcentral is "bacterial SSU rRNA". It matches the Rfam family "Bacterial small subunit ribosomal RNA", at positions 338 to 916 of the family's 1533-position model. The record is from RNAcentral.
CCUACGGGAGGCAGCAGUGGGGAAUUUUGGACAAUGGGGGAAACCCUGAUCCAGCCAUCCCGCGUGAGUGAAGAAGGCCUUCGGGUUGUAAAGCUCUUUCGAAAGUGAAGAAAACUUAUUUCGUAAUAUGUUAUAAGUAUGACGGUAACUUUAGAAGAAGCACCGGCUAACUACGUGCCAGCAGCCGCGGUAAUACGUAGGGCGCGAGCGUUAAUCGGAAUUACUGGGCGUAAAGCGUGCGCAGGCGGUUUUGUAAGUCAGAUGUGAAAUCCCCGAGCUUAACUUGGGAACUGCGUUUGAAACUACAAGACUAGAGUGUGUCAGAGGGGGGUAGAAUUCCACGUGUAGCAGUGAAAUGCGUAGAGAUGUGGAGGAAUACCAAUGGCGAAGGCAGCCCCCUGGGAUAACACUGACGCUCAUGCACGAAAGCGUGGGGAGCGAACAGGAUUAGAUACCCUGGUAGUCCACGCCCUAAACGAUGUCAACUAGUUGUUGGUGGAGUAAGAUCCAUGAGUAACGUAGCUAACGCGUGAAGUUGACCGCCUGGGGGGUACGGUCGCAAGAUUAAAACUCAAAGGAAUUGACGG